GCCAGCAGCCGCGGUAACACCGGCGGCCCGAGUGGUGAUCGUGAUUAUUGGGUCUAAAGGGUCCGUAGCCGGUUUGGUCAGUCCUCCGGGAAAUCUGAUAGCUCAACUAUUAGGCUUUCGGGGGAUACUGCCAGACUUGGAACCGGGAGAGGUAAGAGGUACUACAGGGGUAGGAGUGAAAUCUUGUAAUCCCUGUGGGACCACCUGUGGCGAAGGCGUCUUACCAGAACGGGUUCGACGGUGAGGGACGAAAGCUGGGGGCACGAACCGGAUUAGAUACCCGGGUAGUCCCAGCCGUAAACGAUGCUCGCUAGGUGUCAGGCAUGGCGCGACCGUGUCUGGUGCCGCAGGGAAGCCGUGAAGCGAGCCACCUGGGAAGUACGGCCGCAAGGCUGAAACUUAAAGGAAUUGGCGGGGGAGCACAACAACGGGUGGAGCCCUGCGGUUUAAUUGGACUCAACGCCGGACAACUCACCGGGGGCGACAGCAAUAUGUAGGCCAAGCUGAAGACUUUGCCUGAAUCGCUGAGAAGAGGUGCAUGG
RNAcentral lists this ribosomal RNA (542 nucleotides) under uncultured archaeon. Its description in RNAcentral is "bacterial SSU rRNA". It matches the Rfam family "Archaeal small subunit ribosomal RNA", at positions 457 to 997 of the family's 1478-position model. The record is from RNAcentral.